Molecule: long non-coding RNA, 1349 nt
Organism: Eriocheir sinensis (Chinese mitten crab)
Lineage: Eukaryota; Metazoa; Arthropoda; Malacostraca; Decapoda; Varunidae
Exons: 2
Source: RefSeq, a predicted model, not a curated record
GACGCAGCAUCACCCUUGGGCAAGCGACCGGACCAACACGACAGUCAAGUGAAGUAAAUUGACAAGACUUGCGGGUGGAAGGGAGCAAAACGAUGUGUGUGUGUGUGUGUGUGUGUGUGUGUGUGUCCGCCAUACUCCCACGGCCAAGCGAAUAAUUGUUUUUAUUGGCCGGCAAACCGACUCUUUGACUCCUAUACGCCGGGCUCCCCUUCGCGUCCCCUCCGCCCCCCGCCGCCCCCUGCCAGACCCCCGCCGCCCGUAUGUUCAUUAUUAGCGGCUCAAUGAGGGUGAGAUAUGGGGAGUGAGGGGAGCUAAGAGGGGGGAAGGAGUGACGUAUGGGGAGUGAGGGGAGCUGCCGUGGGGGAAGAGGAGGAGGGACGGGGUAGAGUCAGAGCUUACGUGGUGGUUGUGGUGGUGGUGGGAUGCGCAGAAGUGUCGCGCGCAGAGGGAGGGAGACAGGGAGAGGCAGGGAGGGUGUGCGGGGUGAGAACUGUCCGCGUGAGGCACAGGAAUGGCCGAUAGUUCCUCGCGGGCUGCCAGGCGAACAGCAUCCCCCGAGGCGGUUCGCUUCUCCCUCCGGCGUGCGCGAAGACGCGACUCAACGAUCCCGAAUCUUAAUUAGGAAAACAAAGCAGGUGAAAGAAAAAGAAACGAGGAAAACAACAACGACGCUGUAUUUUUCCACCUGUUCUACUUAAGUGAAACCCAAAACAAAAAAAAACAAAAAAAAUCCAAGGCAAAGGAAAGAACCGCACUGAGAAAAUAAUAAUCGAGUGAAAACAACAAGAACAAGAAUGGAGGAGGAGAUGAACGUGCCGCCGAGGUGUCACUGCGUUGGCUCGUCGUAUUGUGUGUUUUGAGCGGCGCCACAAAACCCGCGUCAAUGGAAGGAUAAUUAGCAGAGAAAACACUAAUUAUGCCGCCCAAAAAGUGUGUGUUCGUGACGCGCCGUGCAUAACUCACCCCUCCGCUCCGUCCCGCCGGCUUGCUCUCUCCCCUUACCUCACCUCCUCCUCCUCCUCCUCCUCCUCCGACCUCGUCCUCCUCCGUGUCCUCCUCCUCCUCUUUCCCUCUUGAGAAGUGUGACUCGCCGCGUGGAAUGGAUUAAAAAAAGAAACCAGAAAAGUUAUGAAAGAGAAGAAACUUGAUUAAGCAAAACACAAAGAGAAAUACGUGGAAUUCUAACUAAAAUAUACCAAAAAAUAAGAAAAAAGUAAAUAAAAUAAUAGAAAGGAAAAUAAAACAAAGAAAAACAAAAAUAACAUUUGCAAAAGUUAAAAACGAGAAAAAGAUAAACCACGUGAUUAAAAAAAAAAGAAUAAAACAAAAUAUACUUGAAAAAUAAAACA